AAAGACGGCGCGGAGGACCCCGCCUCCCCCCGUGCGCGUGUAUAAGACGGGCUGCACGUGAGUCUCGCUUCCUUCUCGUCGCUGGUCCUGCAGGCAUGGCGGAGGGUUCGGGAGACGAGCCGUCCCGGGGGGCGGUGGAGAUCCCGGACUACACGCAGAGAGGCGGGAGGAGGAGACUUCGGGGGGUGAUGUAGCGUUUGACCGGGUGCUGGGCGCCUGGCCAGUUGGACCUCAAGGUGAGCCUUUGAAGUGCAUUUGAAAUUGGGGUGGUGGGGUAGGAGGUGCAUCCUUACACCGACAGUGGUAGGGGUGGGGAACAAGCGGCCCAGUCCGUGUGGUUGAAGCCGAUACCCCGGCUUCUCUCCAGACACAGCUGGGUGAG
This is a non-coding RNA of Lepisosteus oculatus (spotted gar), 382 nucleotides long. The record is from RefSeq and is a predicted model, not a curated record. Lineage: Eukaryota; Metazoa; Chordata; Actinopteri; Semionotiformes; Lepisosteidae.